Cavia porcellus (domestic guinea pig) is the source of this 2437-nucleotide long non-coding RNA. RefSeq lists it as uncharacterized. The record is from RefSeq and is a predicted model, not a curated record. The transcript has 6 exons. NCBI's taxonomy places the organism in Eukaryota, Metazoa, Chordata, Mammalia, Rodentia, Caviidae.
UGCCCGGGCCUGUGUGGGCUCCGCCCAUCGACCGAUGCGGGGCGGGGCGGGGCGGGGUUCCCCUCGCCUCCCGACUGCCCUUUCACCUGCGGCCUCUGAGCAGGCUGGUUCGCUCUGCGGAGCUCUGGACGCGUGCGGGAAUGAUCAGUGUUGGGCUUCAGGUAGAUGAGACCCCAGGAUAUAUAAGAAGCAGUAUUCUUUGCCCUCCUGAAGAGAGGACAUAGUGGGUAGGCUGCACAUGGAGUUUUCAGCUAAAUGUCCUUUCAGAUACCUUCAUGUGAAUGAGGACCCUGCCUCCAUUGGGACUUCAGAUGUCUGACAGCCCUGUGUCACACUGAGCAAUCAAAGAAACAUGUCCUGUGGUGGUGGAGGUCGAACUCACAACCUCGCACUUGCCAGGGAGGAACUUGUGCCACAGAGCUAAAUCCACAAGAUCUACCUGUGAUAGUAUGGGUUUUACAUGUGCAUUUCCUUCUGCCUGAAUACUGUUUUACUCCCUUCCUUUGGUUAAUAACCUGAUGGUCAAGUAUUAGUUCAAGGGGCUGGGGAUUUAGCUCAGCACCAUAAGCACCUGCCUUGCAAGGAGGCAGUUGUGAGUUCGAUGUCCGGUACUGAUGAAAAGAAAAAAAAAAGUAUUAGCUCAAACUUCAGAUUUUGAGGAAAGCUUCCCAUUUCUCAGAUUACCCAUCUAGCUAAGUUUAUAAAGUCCUUUUUAUUGGUUCAGUGUCUGUCUUCAUAUAAAUUCCUUGAGGACAAAGAUUACUUUUAUCUAAGGUUUUUUGGUGGUUUUGUUUUGUGUGGUUGUUUGUGGUUUUUUGUUUGUUUGUUCUUGUUUUUGAGACGGAGUCUCACUAUGUAUUUAAGGCUGGUCUUGAACUCAAUCUGUAACUUACACAAGGAUCCUCCUGCCUCAUCCUCCUGAGUGCUAGGAUUAUAGGUAUGUGCCACCUUACCUGGUUUGUUUGGUUUAUUAAGACAGAGUUUUGCUAUGUAGUUCAGGCUGGCCUUGAACUUAUUAUGUAGCCCAGGUUGAUUUUUUUUGUUUGUUUGUUUUGGCACGGGGGAGUGAACUCAAUACCUCACACUUGCCAGGCAGACACUUACGCCACUGAGCUAAAUUCCUGGCACUAGGUUGAUUUCUAAUGUACAGCAAACCUCCUGUUUUAGUCUUCCAGAGUGCUAGGAUUACAGUUUGCCUGUUUCCCUGAGGCUUACCUUAAUGACCCAGGAGGCACUCCCAAAAUACUUCCAUUAUUAGAUUAAAAUUGUCUAAUGUCAUGAACUGGGGCUUGUUAGUCAGCCCAAGGUGUUACCCUUUUUUUUUUCUACGCUAGUACUGGGCAUUGAACACAGGGUCUUUGCACUGAGCUGUAUGCCCAGCCUCUCUUCCCUCAUUUAAAUUUUUAAAUUUUGAGACAAGAUCUGGCUAACUUACCCAGAUGGAAUUAUAUGAUCCUGCUACCUCAACCUCAGUUAGUAGUGGCAUUAGAGGUGUGGGCACAUCACUGUGCUGACUUUAUUUUUAUAGCAUGCUAUUCAGAAAGUGCCUAAUUACAUCUCUAAGACUACUAGCUUUCUCACGUUUGUCUUUUUGUCUUUUAUCAAAUGGGAUGUUAAAAGCAGUCAUCUAGGGGCUGGGGAUUUAGUUCAGUGGUGUAAUGAGGUCAUGAGUUGGAUCCCCAGCACCAAAACAAAACAAAAAAAAGUAGUCACCUAUCAGUUAUUGUAAAGUUGUGUGUAGUUGCUUUCUAAAACUUUAGUGUAAAUUGUUUUGCUUUCUCAUAGUAAGCAUUCUAUAAUUAUCAUUGUGAUGGAAAAUUCCUGCCUUCCAAAUCUCACAUGCUUGAGUGGUUUAUCUGAAAAAUCUCUACAGGAAUUUGGAACAAGUAUCUCACUUCCAAGGGUGUUUUGCAAUCAAAUUCAACAAAUGGCAAUGUCACUCUUUUCUGGUCUUUUUGAGGGAAUGGGCUGGCGGCCUUCUACCAGUGAUUAUCCUGCACUGAAAUUUCUAAGAUUAAAAACCAGGUGUAUGGGGCUGGGGAUUUAGCUCAGCGGCAUAAGCACCUGCCUUGUAAGCAGGCGGUCAUGAGUUCGAUCCCCGGUACCGAUACAAAAGAAAAAAAAAAAAAAAACAAAAAAAAAACAGGUGUUUUUUUUAACACAUAGCAAAGGUUUUUAAUCCUGUGAUCUCAGCACUCCAGAGGCUCAAGCAGGUAGAUUGUCCAGAGUUGGAGGCCAGCCUGGGCUACAUAGUAAGUUGGAAGGCAAGCCUCACAACCUGAGACCUUAUCGCAAACAAAGCAAAACGAUUUGGGGAAGCAGUUCAGUACAAAUGCUCUAGUUCAAUACCCAGGACCUCAAAGGAAAAACAAAACAACCUUCUGUAGAUAAUUUACGAUAGAAAUUAAGUUUAAACCAGGUAAUCCCGCCUAUUACU